UAGUAGUGGCAGUCAGAAACCGACAGGCAGCAGGCAGAGACGAGGUCAAAAAACAGUCACAGAUCAACUCAUGGCACAGGCACUAUCACGAGCUAGGCAAAGGCAGGGUCAACAACGAAGCAAGGUCCAAAUACCAGGUACGAGUCUCAGGAAUGCUGGAAUAAUAGUAGGUGAUCAACAUAACGAUCUGGCAGGGAACUAUGGCUACAGGUGGUUCUUAUAUACUGACUGAACUGAUUACCGAAUGAAGUGCAGGUGUGGAUGAUGACCGGUAAUGGCAGGGAACAGCUGUGACAUGAAAUACAAAGGAAGUCCUUUCAAAGUAAAAUGGGAAAUGAAAACUGGAACUAAAAACCUGACAACUGAGUCCUUUCAAAACAAAAGCGGAAACUAAACACAAUGAACAGGAACCGGAGGUGUUACAAAAUAAAACAGAAACUACUGCGCUAAAACAGGAAACCAAAACAUAAGUGAAAAUCAGAGUCCUUCAGGAAACAACAAGAAACAAAAAACCCAGAUCGUGACACCAAGGUGUCAAAAACAUAGACAUGAACUCUAUCAAAAGCUUUCUUUUGAUCAAUUGAAAAAAUACCAACAUUCAAAUUCUGUACCUUAGACAGAUCAAUAAUAUUGUGCAACAAAAAUUAAUUGUCCAUGAUUGUCCGGUUAGGAACACAGUAUGUUUGACUGCAAUGCACAAUGGUAUUAGUACACCUUGCAAUUAUUUUAUAUUCUGUGCAUAACAGUGACACCAGUCUCCAGUUCUUCAACAAGCAAGGUCUCCUUUUUUUGGUAAGAGUGUCAAGACUGCUCUCGUGCAGCUAAGAGGCAACAUCCCGGAGUCCAGGCAGCUUGUGAACACGUCGAACAUGUCUUUUCCCAAUACAUCCCAGAAGCACUUGCAGAAUUCUGCUGGAAGCCUAUCAAUUCUGACAGAACGACCGUUGCCCAGCUGCUGCACCGCCAUAGACAUUUUAGUAAAAAAUACAGCAGACUCAAGUAAAGCCGAAUGUGCCUCCGUCACCUGACAACCUACCUGAUGUACUGUUUACAAAAAAUUCUGAUUUGUGUCUUUCCAACCCACCACAAAGCCAGAUUUACGAAGUCCCCUUUCCUCAGCCUUCACUCGCUCCAGAAAUCGGCAAAGGCUUCACAAAAAACUUUCAUGAUUUGCACUUUAAAUUGCCAAUAUAAACAUCGCUGAUGCUGCACUAACAGAGACAGGUCUGUUGUCACCAAAUGAAAAAACCCCACCUGUGAUAUUGUAGAUGUUGUUAGUAGAUUACAGUGAGUCUUAUCUAAGUAAAUCCUGUCUAGCCACUCUAACACUUCAUUCAGUAACCCUGAUCCACGUAUAUUGCUUAGUAUCUGGGUUGAAAACCCUCCAUACAUCCACCACAUCAGCUUCAGUAGUUAUCCCCAACAACAGGGACGGAGAUGGCAAAUGUGGUUCCCCCAAAUUCCUAUCCACCUGAGGGUGUGUCUUACAGUUCCAAACGCCCCCUAAAAUGACUAUAGAACUGCCUUCGAGCUGCUUAAAGGUAUCAUGCAGUCUCCGAAACUGCUCCUACGUGAACCAGAAUUAUUUGCAUAAACAUUGAUAAACCUAAAAUAUAUCCCUCUAAUUUUAGCAUCCACUACCUGAACCCUUCCAGACUCAACUUCACGUACUCCCACCUCCAUUAAUUUUACAUAUGGAGAGAAAAGAACAGCCACCCUGCACUUAAGUUGGAACCAUGGCUCAGGAUAACCUGCCCUUUCCACUCAGCUGACCAAUCGGUUUCAUUUUCAGUCGUAUUAUGUCUACGCUUUUGGCAGACGGUGGCCCGACUCUCCCUGUCCCUCCCUCCAUUAAUAUUGAGUGUCCCAAUCCUCAACCUCUCCAUGCAGAGUAGGAAUAAACAAAAACAGAGCAAACAGAAAGAAGUAGUAAACCCAGUGGAAGAGUGAAAUUUAGCCUUAGCAACUAGAGUCAUUUCAGAAUAGGUUAUGCAGUUUUAUUCAUCUCAAAACGCUUGUCCCACUUCUCUGGCAGAGACGAUCAUCAACAGGCAAGAAUACGAAGUGCUGGCACGGAACAAACUCAAACAAACUCACAAUCUGGCAGGGAACAAAGGUAAGUGCUGGUGGCUAUAUACUGAACUAAAGACCGGAUUGAAAACGCCUGUGUGAUCACGUGAUUAAAACAUAAAGCAGGAAAAGGGCAUGACUGAACAGAAACCGGAAGUGACUACAAAAUAAAACAGAAAAUGUGUGGCAAAAACACGUGACAAGCAGGCCAUGAGUCACUGAACACAAAACACCCUUAUAUCCCCAAUGAACAAAAAAACUGACCUAAAAGAAAAUUUUACAGACACGACUGUAAAUGACCACAAGGGUAAUGUCAGUUACUCGUUGUGGGCGUGGCUCAAUUGAAGCAGACUCACCCCAGACCAUGUGUGCCGAGCACGGAGAUUUACGGCAGACUCACUGCCUUCAUGUUUCUUCAAGUUGAAUCUCAGAUGCCGUGUGUGUGUCAGUCAAGCUAGCGAUGCUAAGAUCGAAGACUUCAACACGUUUUCCAAUUAUUGCACCCUUGGUAAGCGGAGCGAGGUAUGUCAUUUUGACUCAUUGUAUUAGUGAACCAAAGUUUUAGAGAACCCGAAAUGUUGACAUUGGUUGUAAUAUUUGUUCUUUGGAAAACUAUAUAUUUUCAGGUGCUUAUUCAGCGGUGCACAUUAAUCAUUUUUUGUGUGUAUUACCAUGCUUUAUUCAGAGCUCACGUUCUGUAUUUAUGUGUAGACAUGUGUGUUACUGUGAUAUAUGUGAGUUUAUUUGCACUUUGUUAAAUGUGAGUGACCACUAAGCAGCAACUUUGUUCAUUUUUAGUUUUCACGGUGCUUGAAGGAUGCUCAAGUGUUGCUGGUCAAACUUCUGUGGAUGACACCACUAAAUAAACUCACCGCACCCAUUAGAGACUCUCCUGUGAAUUUUUUUUGAUACCAAAGGCAGCUACAACGACUAUGAGAAGCUCUACAUACAGGACCUAAGAUAACAACCACUGUGGCAGGGUCUGCCACAUAUUUUUAAACCACUGAAAAAAAAGAGGAGUCAGCCUGGAUUAGUCUAGCUAAAAAUGCUGUAAGCUCACUUCAGCUAAACGGAAAAAACACUCCCCUCCCACCCUCCUAUGAAAACGUGCCACAUGUCUGUUUGUAGCCACGGCCCCUUGUAUAAUCCUCCUCUGUAGAUUCGCAGUACGCUUCUCUAUGGGAGGCUUAUACAGGGACCUCCAACCGCCCCUGGGAGAGGACCCUGGUGGCAACCCACCUGACCACUUCCACUCUGGCACAAAAUCUAGGGAAGCUUUUAUCACCAAUUUAAAAUAUCCACACUAGGAAACUCCAAAGCUCAUUUGCAUGUUUGCAUUGAAAUUAUUAUUAAUUAUUAUAACUUCUCUAACUAUUAUAACAGAUCACUACCCUGUUUUACCUGCAAAAAGUCAUUUAGGGUGGGGGGGGCACUGUCCGGGGGACACACCGUCAGCCAGCGGUCGUGCUCCUGGAGGUGUCACCCACUUUCAGUGCACUCUAGUUCCACACACUCACGUCCAAGCUGGGUUGCAGGGUUCUGGGGUGCCCUGCCCGCUGCCCCCUGCUUUUACCGGGUUUGGGGGGGGUGGGCAGGGCUCAGGAGGAGCUGUGGUCCCUGCCUGGGGCCACAUGGGCCGCAGGCCGGAGACCUACCCUCCCCACGAAUGAGAUCAAGCAAAUGGUGUGAGUGCGAGAAUGUAUCUGAGAGUGCGUGGGUUCACGUAUGAUUGACUAGUUUGUUGUGAGAGAGUUUAUGGUGUGUGUGUUGAUGUACUGUGGGUGGGCAUAUGCGUCUGUGUUUGUGUGAGUUUGUAUGUGUGUGGUGCGGUUGGAGUCGGGGGGGUCCGGUUUUCCGCCGGGUACGUUGAUUGUUUGCCUGGGUGGUCUCUUUUCUGCUGACCCCACCAAUUGCUGGCCUUGUGCUGCGGGCCCGGUUUGGUGCCAGGGGAUGAGGUCGGGCCGAUGGGGUCGGCCCCGCUCCGCUCGUGUGGGGGUGGUGGACUGGGGGCGGGCCCCACUCUGGGUGCGGGGGCAUCUCCUGGCGGGCUCCCUACGGACUAGCGUGGGUCCUCUGGCUCCACUCUUUCAGGCCGACCCUCCCACCGGGGGGAGUGUUUGCCCCUGGUUCUCAUGGGGCGGACAGCGUUGACCCACGGUGGCCCACUCUGACCUCGGGUGCUGUCUCUGUGGCUGCUGCAGCUCUGCCUGGGGGGCUCUGUGUGGGCGGCUUGGGUCGCAACACCUGCCCUCCUGGAACUGAAGGUGUAUGGGCUCCCUGGCUACUAGGAUUCUUUCCUCUGCUUGUUGGAUGGGCGUAGUGACUGAGCCCCUCACAUCACCCUGGCUUCCACAAGUGGCACUGUUCAUGCACCAACGUCUGCCUCACCCUUUGGGUGAAUAAUAUUAAGCUACAGCCUUACUAACCUUGUAGUGGGACACUCAACACUUUUUUUUGGGUUUUCCAAAACCAACUGUAAGUAUUACUGAUACUUAUCACUACCAAUAUCAAUAAUGUGUGAAUAUGGAAAUUGUGGUGUUGUAUGUCUUGACUUUUAUUAAGUAGUAUGGGAUAUGUAUAACAAUGCAUAUGUUUAUGUAUAUGAUAUAUAUAUGUUUCUAUGAGUAUGUACACAUACCUUAACACUAUUAUUGGUAUUAGUAUUAAUCUCCAACGUAAACCACAGUACAACAGUUGUUUAGUUAUGAAUGUGAUAGCCUAAGGUACAUCCCUGCUUAUUUAUUUUGCUCCGAUUGUUUACGUAACAGAUUUGCUUGAUUUCAGCAGCUGGUUGCACCCCCACCCCCACUCCUCCACACACACCCUAAAGCAGAAACUUAACCUGUCCACCAACACAGCAACAUCACACAUAUUUAGGAUUGGCUAAAUAAACCAUUAAAUAAACCAUUCAUCAAGAAGAGUAUAUAUAUUUUAUAAAUACCCCUUUUGUUAAAGCAAAGCUGUCCAUCACAAUAUGGCAUUCAGCGUAAGAUAUGCUGCUUGUUAAACUGCUGGACAGAACAAAAAAAACCCGAAAAUAUAAUAACUUGGUCCUGCUUUACUGUAUUGAAACCAAUUUCUUGCUGAGUUGAUGUUCAACGAUUGUGCUUUGAUUUCAUAGGAAGUUAUUAGAAGUUAUUGAGGCCUCUGUUUUAAAGAGAUAUUCAUUCUAAAAGUGAAUUUCUCUUUAUAUUCUUCUGAAACAUUUUGCUUUCUCUUCUCGACAAAAAUAUUGAUACUUUGGUUGAAUUUUGACUCCUCCUCACUGCUAACGACCUAACUAUCUUGUCUGUCUGCGUCUCUAAGUGCCUGUGUGUAAGCGGCGUGCCUGAGUCUGUAUGCCAGAGCAAAGCUGACUCCCCCCCUCCCUUUUUGCUUUGAGAUCUCACGUGACUCAACGACUUGGGCCCAUAAAAAAAGCAGGUAGAGGACACAUAUGAUGAAGAAGGAUCUGUAUGAAUGAAUCAGGAACGAACUGGAGUCCUGUCUGCUCGCUACAGAGCCGCAGGGGCCUGGCUGACAUGUGACAAAGGAACGAAUCCCCGAAGACGCACACUCAGUUAAGUGAGUUCUGAACAAAUCAUUUCUGUUCCAGUUCUUCUAAGACACUUCUGGUGUGUUAGAAGUACGCCCCCUACUUAUUUCACAUUUUUGAGAGUUUAUCCAAUCCGGUUCGCUUCGCAUCGUUUCAAAUUUGGCGGACUGGAUACAUGUGCAUUCGCGCUGACCAAUCACAGAACCAGCCCCCCCGACAAACCUGGACCCCUAAAUGUACCUGAAACAUUUCGUUUCAGUCACUCCAGUCACAGACAAAAGAAGAAGAAGUCACUCACUGCGCAGUCUACCAUAGGAGGUGGCGCUAAUGCACCUUUCAGUUGGUUGCCACCCGCCAUUUAAAAGUCAAAAAGAAGAAGUCACUCAAUUUGGAGAAGCGCCCUGUUCCUCAAGACGUUAUCCACCUGCUGCUUCCCCAAACGUAAGUACAUGCUUGAUACUUAUUUGAUGUAUGUACUCCAGAAGUUUCUCUGUUUAUAAUGUAGCUUCCCUCCUGUGUAAGGAAUGCUAAUUGCUAGAACCGUUUAAUCUAACAGCUACAGUGACAGAGAGAGACAGUGUUGCAAGGUGCUGACACGCAAUUUGGAUGAGUCCAAGCCACUCCAGCAUUUGUCCGGUUCGAAUCGUGUGAUAUAUGGUACUGAGGUCAUUCACUCAGCUCACAUUAUAGGUGCUAGCGCGAUAGUAGCGCAGCAUUAGCGGCUAGCGUUAGCGGCCAGCGCUAGUAAGUUGUGAGAGUCAGCUGUGUUAAAAAUUACUACCGAGCCUGUCGUGUGUAUGUUGUAGCCCGAGUAGACCCGUGAAUUUGGGUUAUUGCAAGUUCUAUCUAAGUCUAACGUGUGUUGUUGCUUAUCUAGUCAGCUACUUUAGAUGUAAACGCGUGUUUUAUUAUACAUGCUGACGUAUGCCAGCUACCGAAACGCGAGGAGGUUGCUUCUCAAACUGACUCGCGGCUACCUUGUAGAAGAGUAGAAGAGUGCUCACCUCAGGAGCAAAGGUAUGUACAUUUAACAGCAGUAUAAUCAUUUGUUGGCCAAUAUGCAGUUUUAUUUGACAGAGAUUUUGCAUUUCACAUUUCAGUAGUUGUGGUAUUCAUAAUCUGAUCUAUAUUAUUGUCUAUGUAUUUACUCUGUAUGCAGUUGGUCAACUUAUUUCGAUAUUUUAGUCCGUUGACGGGUAAUUUGUUACUCUAGUGUUAUGGUGCAGAUUAUGUGGAAAAUGUGAUGAAGACCAUCUUCAAUAAAGUCCUGCUGGACUCAGGUUGUUCAAUGGAGGACCUUGUAAACAUCCCUGUCCCACCUGCCCUCUGAGCAGAAUUUGAGCAACCUGACAGAAAGGAGGUCAUUAAUGUCAUGCUAAGAUUUAACAAACCAGCACUAUAAAAUAAGUUGAAAACGUGUUUGCUCCAAACGCCAUUAAAACUGAUCUAACUACCUCUAUUUAUUGUUUAGAUCUGUAAAGGUUGUGAGAUACAUAGUCAAUACUGGUCAUUUAAUUAAUCUGCUAUUCUAUUCUUUAUACCUUCUAGAGUGGUGUCAAGAUAAACAGCUGCAUCCUCCAUCUGUACAGCAGCUGCACUGCUUCCGAUGUCUUCCAACACGUGAAGACAAAAAAGAUCCUCACAUCUCCCCAGCCAACUGCUCAUGACUGUACCUGUUCGACUCAAGAAACUAUGCUUUCAACAUAACUAUGAAUCCUACCCGUUCAUUUUGUGGUCUGCAAAUUGAACUGUGACGGUAACUUAUCCAGCAUUAUAGUGCUGGUGCAUUGGUUAAAAAUAAAGUUGGCUUUGACUGUUGCUGUU
Molecule: long non-coding RNA, 7429 nt
Organism: Betta splendens (Siamese fighting fish)
Lineage: Eukaryota; Metazoa; Chordata; Actinopteri; Anabantiformes; Osphronemidae
Exons: 2
Source: RefSeq, a predicted model, not a curated record